Molecule: non-coding RNA, 240 nt
Filed under: Sporanaerobacter acetigenes
Lineage: Bacteria; Bacillati; Bacillota; Tissierellia; Tissierellales; Sporanaerobacteraceae
Description: T-box sequence
Rfam family: T-box leader
About the family: Uncharged tRNA acts as the effector for transcription antitermination of genes in the T-box leader family. T-boxes are found upstream of many aminoacyl-tRNA synthetase genes and some amino acid biosynthetic genes usually in Gram-positive bacteria.
Source: RNAcentral
AUAAAGGUAAUGCAGGGAAGAGUAGGUCUGUAUUUUGAACACUAGAGAGCUGGGAAAGGUGAAAGCCAGCGUUCAAAGUCUUGCCGAAUAUGGCCCCUAAACUGUAUAGCUGAAAAAAGUAGGCUAUGACGGGUUUGCAACCGUUAAGAUUGCAAGGUUAUGAUUGUAACCUAUAGAGAUUUAAACUGUGAAGUUUAAAUGAAUUGGAGUGGUACCGCGAAGAAUACCUUCGUCUCUAUU